GACGUAGGGUCCAAGCGUUAUCCGGAAUUACUGGGCGUAAAGCGUACGUAGGUGGCGCGUUAAGUGAGAUGCGAAAUCCAGCGGCUCAACCGUUUGGACUGUGUUUCAUACUGGCGUGCUAGAGGAUGGCAGAGGUAAGUGGAAUUGGUAGUGUAGCAGUGAAAUGCGUAGAUAUUACCAGGAACACCAAUGGCGAAGGCAGCUUACUGGGCCACACCUGACACUGAGGUACGAAAGCGUGGGGAGCGAACAGG
Molecule: ribosomal RNA, 254 nt
Filed under: uncultured bacterium
Lineage: Bacteria
Description: partial 16S ribosomal RNA
Rfam family: Bacterial small subunit ribosomal RNA
Source: RNAcentral